GUGGGAGGUGUCGCGGUGGUCCAUGCCUGAGCACGGGCUUGCUUUGAUUGACAGCCUCAGUCGUUUUACGCUGUAUUGUCUUGUCAUCUGCAUCUUCUCCGUGAUGGAUGAGGGGAGGAGGAACGGAUCCAUGGGCUCCGCUCCCAUGGCCAUUGGCUUCUGUCACCAUGGCACACCUCAUGAGAAUGUUCUACACUGGAGCUGAAAUGAACCCUGACAAAUCCUUCACCCCUGCGAUGUUCAAGAGGAACUUCAUGAACCACUGGGU
Molecule: long non-coding RNA, 268 nt
Organism: Engraulis encrasicolus (European anchovy)
Lineage: Eukaryota; Metazoa; Chordata; Actinopteri; Clupeiformes; Engraulidae
Exons: 3
Source: RefSeq, a predicted model, not a curated record